This 85-nucleotide transfer RNA is filed under the name Rhodotorula graminis WP1. Its description in RNAcentral is "tRNA-Tyr". It matches the Rfam family "tRNA". Rfam says of the family: Transfer RNA (tRNA) molecules are approximately 80 nucleotides in length. Lineage: Eukaryota; Fungi; Basidiomycota; Microbotryomycetes; Sporidiobolales; Sporidiobolaceae. The record is from RNAcentral.
CCCCGCUUAACUCAGCUGGAAGAGUGUCAGACUGUAAUCGGUUACGUUCAUCUGAAAGUCCCUGGUUCGAUCCCGGGAGCGGGGA